AGAGGGUGGAGCUUUGGAGUGAGACCCAGGACGCCAAAUCCCAAAGAGAAAAAUAGGAGCCUAAAUAAGGAUCAGGACCAAGGGAAGGGAGUGAGGCUCAGUGUCAUCAAGGAACAGCCAAUCCAAUGAGAUUGACAUGAGAAAUGAUACAUAUUCAGCAGAAGAUCAGACCCUAAAAGCAUGACAAUUGCAGUUAUCUUCUCUGGCAAGAGAAGAGUGUGAAGAUACUCCUAAAUAGCCACAUAUGGAUUAAUUUUAUUUUAGAAUCGUGAAAAAUGGAAGACAGUAGCACAGACACAGAAAAAGAAGAGGAAGAGGAGAAAGAUGAAAAGGAUCAAGAGCCCAUUUAUGCCAUAGUGCCCACAAUUAACAUUCAAGAUGAGCGGUUUGUUGAUUUAUCUGAAACUCCAGCUUUCAUUUUUCUGCAUGAGUGGCUGAACUAAACUAAAGAGCCUCUUCACAGCAAAAGAAACCAUCAACAGAGUAAACAGACAAUCUACAGAAUGGGAGAAAAUAUUUGCAAACUGCAUCUGAGAAAGGUCUGAUAUCCGGAAUCUAUAAGGAACUUAGACAAAUCAACAAGCAAAAAACAAAUAACCCCAUUUUAAAAAUAGGCAAAGGACAUGAACAGACGUUUCUCAAAAGAAGACAUACAUGUGGCCAACAAAAGUAGGAAAAAGUGCUCAGCAUCACUAAUUAUCAGAGAAAUACAAGUCAAAACCACAAUGAGAUAUUAUCUCCCACCAGUCAGAAUGACUAUUAUUAAAAAGUCAAAAACAAUGGAUGCUGGCAAAGGUAUGGAGAAAAAGAAAUGCUUAUCUUUGUAUUUUUAAAACCAUGAUUUCCUUCCUCUAAUCUUAAAUUUUAAGUGAAGAGUUCACAUUUCUGUCAAAAUCCAUCAUAUGUCGAACUUUGCAAUAGAAUUUCUACUUCUCCACCACUACCCUUAAUAAUCAAAUCAAAAAUAAGGCUAAACUUGUGUCAUACAUUUGUUUGAUAUAGUAGCUACCAAAGACGUUGACUCAACAUACACUUAUGAUGUAAGGUCAUGCAUUUUUAGGUCUGACAUAAGUUGUUUGAAACCCAAUCAUACCUGAUCUUUGUACUAGUUAAAAUAACUCCUCCCCGUGUGGUGGAGAUAUAGCCCACUUGUUUCUCAUCCUGCUAAUCCCAAACCCAAAACACCCCACAGCUGCUAACCGUGAUAAAACCUAAUGAUCAACACCAGAGUCAUAUAAAUAAGUUUCCCCCUUCUGGCGUGUUUUCCUUAAACCAGCCAAUCCACAACUCCUGUUAGAAGACCGGAGGGAUAAUACCCAUAUACCUUAAUAAAGGUGAACUCCCACAGCUGCUCUCUCACUCCCUACCCACUGCUGAGCUCCCUGCCACCUCCAGACUUAUCUGCGCUCCCCAUCAGCACCCCUAAGCUGUCA
This 1433-nucleotide long non-coding RNA is filed under the name Homo sapiens (human). Its description in RNAcentral is "HSALNT0126673". The record is from RNAcentral. Lineage: Eukaryota; Metazoa; Chordata; Mammalia; Primates; Hominidae.